CCUACGGGUGGCUGCAGUGGGGAAUAUUGCACAAUGGGGGAAACCCUGAUGCAGCGACGCCGCGUGAGUGAAGAAGUAUCUCGGUAUGUACACCUCUGUCAGUGGGGACGAUAAUGACGGUACCCACGGAGGAAGCCACGGCUAACUACGUGCCAGCAGCCGCGGUAAUACGUAGGUGGCAAGCGUUGUCCGGAAUUACUGGGUGUAAAGGGAGCGUAGGCGGGAUGUCAAGUCAGAAGUGAAAAUUAUGGGCUCAACUCAUAACCUGCUUUUGAAACUGAUAUUCUUGAGUGAAGUAGAGGCAAGCGGAAUUCCUAGGGUAGCGGUGAAAUGCGUAGAUAUUAGGAGGAACACCAGUGGCGAAGGCGGCUUGCUGGGCUUUUACUGACGCUGAGGCUCGAAAGCGUGGGGAGCAAACAGGAUUAGAUACCCCUGUAGUC
RNAcentral lists this ribosomal RNA (440 nucleotides) under uncultured bacterium. Its description in RNAcentral is "partial 16S ribosomal RNA". It matches the Rfam family "Bacterial small subunit ribosomal RNA", at positions 338 to 795 of the family's 1533-position model. The record is from RNAcentral.